AUGAAAUACAUGGCAAUUGAAUUUUUUGAUUGCGCCAUAAGGAACCGAUGACUGAGAUUACAAAUGCU
Molecule: non-coding RNA, 68 nt
Organism: Caenorhabditis elegans
Lineage: Eukaryota; Metazoa; Nematoda; Chromadorea; Rhabditida; Rhabditidae
Source: Ensembl